GGGCCUGUGGCGCAGCCAGAUGUGGAGCGUUCUUCACAUUUUUCAGUACGCUUCGCUUCCUGAAAUGGAUAGCGCAGCAGCCUUCUAAGCUGACGGUCGCGAGUUCAAAUCUCGCCAGGCCCG
Molecule: transfer RNA, 123 nt
Filed under: Microcaldota archaeon
Lineage: Archaea; Nanobdellati; Microcaldota
Description: tRNA-Arg
Rfam family: tRNA
About the family: Transfer RNA (tRNA) molecules are approximately 80 nucleotides in length. Their secondary structure includes four short double-helical elements and three loops (D, anti-codon, and T loops). Further hydrogen bonds mediate the characteristic L-shaped molecular structure. tRNAs have two regions of fundamental functional importance: the anti-codon, which is responsible for specific mRNA codon recognition, and the 3' end, to which the tRNAs corresponding amino acid is attached (by aminoacyl-tRNA synthetases). tRNAs cope with the degeneracy of the genetic code in two manners: having more than one tRNA (with a specific anti-codon) for a particular amino acid; and 'wobble' base-pairing, i.e. permitting non-standard base-pairing at the 3rd anti-codon position.
Source: RNAcentral